GUAGGUGGCAAGCGUUGUCCGGAAUUAUUGGGCGUAAAGCGCGCGCAGGUGGUUCUUUAAGUCUGAUGUGAAAGCCCCCGGGCUCAACCGGGGAGGGUCAUUGGAAACUGGGGAACUUGAGUGCAGGAGAGGAAAGUGGAAUUCCACGUGUAGCGGUGAAAUGCGUAGAUAUAUGGAGGAACACCAGUGGCGAAGGCGACUUUCUGGCCUGUAACUGACACUGAGGCGCGAAAGCGUGGGGAGCAAACAGGAUUAGAUACCCUGGUGGUCCACGCCGUAAACGAUGAGUGCUAAGUGUUGGGGGGUUUCCGCCCCUCAGUGCUGCAGCUAACGCAUUAAGCACUCCGCCUGGGGAGUACGGUCGCAAAGACUG
This 373-nucleotide ribosomal RNA is filed under the name uncultured organism. RNAcentral describes it as "partial 16S ribosomal RNA". It matches the Rfam family "Bacterial small subunit ribosomal RNA", at positions 527 to 896 of the family's 1533-position model. The record is from RNAcentral.